AGCAGGGGAAGAGUUUGCCUUCUCAGUCCCAUCUUUGUAUACUGACUAUGAUAGAGAAGUACAAGAAGAUAGUCUUGGACCAUGGUGCAUUUGAAAGUCCCCACUCUUCUUGAAGUUAUCGUUGACCAGUUACUUGGAUUGCACAGUGUGUAAGGAGCACUGGCUUUUAGGAAAUGUUCCUCUUUGGGGCACUCUGCGGACAUGGGCAGUGGAACGAGCUGGAGUCCAGGAGCCAGGGAUCUUGGGUCACCAGGACGACUCAUGAAUCUGAAAGGGGCCGUCUUCAUGCUCAUCAUCUCCCUCCUCAGUUUUUCCCCAUAUACAGGAUGAGGAGGAGAAUAAUAAGCAGUUGAAGAAGUUCUAUCCAGUUCUAAACGCUGGGACUCAUAGUAGAUGGAGCAUAGAAAGUAACUUUUAGCUUUUAAUCCUACUCAAAAAAAAAAAAAGCA
This is a long non-coding RNA of Rhinolophus ferrumequinum (greater horseshoe bat), 449 nucleotides long. RefSeq lists it as uncharacterized. The transcript is spliced from 3 exons. The record is from RefSeq and is a predicted model, not a curated record. NCBI's taxonomy places the organism in Eukaryota, Metazoa, Chordata, Mammalia, Chiroptera, Rhinolophidae.